This 387-nucleotide ribosomal RNA is filed under the name uncultured bacterium. RNAcentral's name for it is "bacterial SSU rRNA". It matches the Rfam family "Bacterial small subunit ribosomal RNA", at positions 30 to 418 of the family's 1533-position model. The record is from RNAcentral.
AUUGAACGCUGGCGGCAUGCCUUACACAUGCAAGUCGAACGGCAGCACGGGGCAACCUGGUGGCGAGUGGCGAACGGGUGAGUAAUGCAUCGGAACGUGCCAUUGAGUGGGGGAUAACGUAGCGAAAGUUGCGCUAAUACCGCAUAUUCUGUGAGCAGGAAAGCAGGGGGACCGCAAGGCCUUGCGCUCUUUGAGCGGCCGAUGUCAGAUUAGCUAGUUGGUGAGGUAACGGCUUACCAAGGCGACGAUCUGUAGCGGGUCUGAGAGGAUGAUCCGCCACACUGGAACUGAGACACGGUCCAGACUCCUACGGGAGGCAGCAGUGGGGAAUUUUGGACAAUGGGCGCAAGCCUGAUCCAGCCAUGCCGCGUGAGUGAAGAAGGCCUC